GCGACAUCUAAUAGCAGCAUUGACAAAGUCAUAUUUGUCAUCAUAAGGUACUCUAUCAUAGUUUUGCUCUUCAGUCUGUUGCUGGGAAUCUCGGCACUGAUCCGAAAACGAGGAUGCCUUAGAAUCAACAUUGAAAGAUCUUCGAAUAACGAGACAGAGCUCAGAGGAACAGAAAUUUUCCA
Carassius gibelio (silver crucian carp) is the source of this 182-nucleotide long non-coding RNA. RefSeq lists it as uncharacterized. The record is from RefSeq and is a predicted model, not a curated record. NCBI's taxonomy places the organism in Eukaryota, Metazoa, Chordata, Actinopteri, Cypriniformes, Cyprinidae. The transcript has 3 exons.